This 253-nucleotide ribosomal RNA is filed under the name uncultured bacterium. RNAcentral's name for it is "partial 16S ribosomal RNA". It matches the Rfam family "Bacterial small subunit ribosomal RNA", at positions 524 to 776 of the family's 1533-position model. The record is from RNAcentral.
UACAGAGGGUGCAAGCGUUAAUCGGAAUUACUGGGCGUAAAGCGCGCGUAGGUGGUUCGUUAAGUUGGAUGUGAAAUCCCCGGGCUCAACCUGGGAACUGCAUUCAAAACUGUCGAGCUAGAGUAUGGUAGAGGGUGGUGGAAUUUCCUGUGUAGCGGUGAAAUGCGUAGAUAUAGGAAGGAACACCAGUGGCGAAGGCGACCACCUGGACUGAUACUGACGCUCAAGUGCGAAAGCGUGGGGAGCAAACAGG